CAGGGAGACAACAAAAUGUUUAAUAUUAUUAUUUUGUCACCUUAGGUCGAUCGGUAUCUCACGUUUUUAAUUUAUUAAGAAUUUCAUUUCCUAAGUUUUUCUAGGUCACACCCAUUAUAUUUCCUGGGCCAUUAGCUCAGGUGGUUAGAGCGCACCCCUGAUAAGGGUGAGGUCCCUGGUUCAAGUCCAGGAUGGCCCAUAUCUCUAUGUUGGGGGUAUAGCUCAGUUGGUAGAGCGCCUGCUUUGCAAGCAGGAUGUCAGCGGUUCGAGUCCGCUUACCUCCACUGAUUACCACCUCUCCCAUAAUUAUGUAGAAAGGAAAUGUUUUGAGUGUGAUCAAAUUCUGAACGAAUCUAGCUUCCUAAUGUAAUCAUUAAGAUGCUGGACUCAUUGAAUUAUUUUCAUUGUUUUCAGAGAACCUUGACAACUGCAUAGAUUAUUUUUUUAAAGACAAUAAGCAUCUUUAAUGAUGCAGAUUUAUUAUUUGUGCGAAUGCAUUAAUAACAAUUCUAUUAAGCUGAUGCUUCAAUUUUGAAGUUAUU
Molecule: transfer RNA, 542 nt
Filed under: uncultured Prochlorococcus sp.
Lineage: Bacteria; Bacillati; Cyanobacteriota; Cyanophyceae; Synechococcales; Prochlorococcaceae
Description: partial 16S-23S ribosomal RNA intergenic spacer
Rfam family: tRNA (bases 212-284)
Source: RNAcentral